This 120-nucleotide small RNA is filed under the name Marmota monax (woodchuck). Lineage: Eukaryota; Metazoa; Chordata; Mammalia; Rodentia; Sciuridae. The record is from RNAcentral.
GCCAGGCAUGGUGGUGCACACCUGUAAUCCCAGCUACCUGGGAGGCUGAGGCAGGAGAAUCACAAGUUCAAGGCCAGCCUCAGCAGUUUAGCAAGGCAACUAAGUGAGACCCUGUUUUGA